AUGAGUAGCAUAGGAACUGGGUAUGAUCUGUCCGUCACCACUUUCUCCCCGGACGGACGUGUCUUCCAGGUCGAGUAUGCUGGCAAGGCCGUCGACAAUAGCGGGACGAUCGUUGGGAUCAAAUGCAAAGAUGGAAUUGUCCUUGGUGUGGAGAAGCUGAUAACCUCAAAGAUGAUACUUGCCGGGUCGAACCGGAGACUUCAUUCUGUGCACCGGAACUCUGGCUUGGCUGUGGCUGGAUUAGCAGCAGACGGUAGGCAGAUAGUCUCAAGAGCAAAGUCAGAAGCAGCCAAUUAUGAAAAGGUAUACGGAGAACCCAUGCCUGUAAAGGAAUUAGCUGAUCGCGUUGCUAGCUAUGUUCAUCUGUGUACACUCUACUGGUGGCUCAGGCCUUUUGGCUGUGGAGUUAUUCUUGGAGGCUAUGAUAGGGAUGGGCCACAGCUCUACAUGAUCGAACCUUCAGGCCUCUCCUAUAAAUAUUUUGGUGCUGCUCUGGGUAAAGGAAGACAAGCUGCAAAGACGGAGAUUGAGAAAUUGAAGCUUUCUGAGCUAACCUGCAGGGAAGGCAUCGUUGAGGUUGCCAAGAUAAUUUAUGGUGUACACGACGAAGCGAAAGACAAAUCUUUUGAGCUGGAACUGAGCUGGGUAUGCGAGGAAUCUAACCGUCAGCACGAGAAGGUUCCGAGUGAUCUUCUGGAGCAGGCCAAGGCAGCAGCGCAGGCAGCGUUGGAAGAGAUGGAUGCUGACUAA
This 750-nucleotide ribosomal RNA is filed under the name Triticum aestivum (bread wheat). RNAcentral describes it as "partial small subunit ribosomal RNA". The record is from RNAcentral. Lineage: Eukaryota; Viridiplantae; Streptophyta; Magnoliopsida; Poales; Poaceae.